GUUUGUACAGCUUUAUUUAUAAUUGUCAAAACUUGGAAGCAACCAGGAAGUUCUUCAAUACGUGAAUGGAUAAACAAAUUCUAGUACACGCAAGGAAUGGAAUAUUAUUCAGUGAUAAAGAAAAAUGAACUAUCAUGGCAUGGAAAGAUGUGAAGGAACCUUAAAUGCAUAUUGCCAAGUGAAAGAAGCCAAUCUGAAGAAGUCUACCUAUCUUUUCAGGUUGUAUAAUUUCCCACUAUGUGACGUUUUGGAAAAAGUAAAACUAUGCAGACAAUGAAAAGAUCAGUGGUUUCCAGGAGUCAGUGGGGAGGGAGGGAAGAAUAAAUGGAGCACAGACAGAUUUUAGGGCAGUAAAAUAAUUCUGUAUGAUACUAUAAUAGUGGAGACAUGCCAUUACACAUUUGCCCAAACUCAUAGAAUGUACACACCAAGAGUGAACCCUCAUAUAACCUGAUCAAUGACUAGGUCAACAUUGGUUCAUCAGUUGCAAAGAUGUAUCACACUAAUUCCAGAUAUUAAUAAUAAGGGAAACUGUGUGUGGGGAGAGGUGCUAUAUGAGAACUCUCAAAUAUGCUCAAAUUCUCUGUAAACAUGAAACUGCUCUAAAAAAUAAGAUCUAUAUUAAAAAUCAAAGCUUUCACCAGAUCAAUGGUUGUAGACCAGGUGUCCAGGGAUGCUUUGAUUUGCCCCAGUGAUCAGUAGUCAUAUCUGGAACAGCAGUUGCAAUUGGAGUCCUGGUUAAGUUUACCAGAAUUCACUGUCCUUCCUUCUCCAGGACCCCCCUGUCUUCCACACAAGCCAAUUUAAUGAGUGGAACGAGGCUGCCAUAGUGGUCGUCACCCUGCAUCUUCCAAGUCCUCAAUGGCAGCACUGACCUUUGCGGUCCUUCCAGGGCCACAGGUUGCUUUUGACUGACGAUUUUCCUAGGCAGAGUUCACCCCAUGGCUUCUACUUGGCCUUUCCCACCAUAGCAGCCCCCACCCCUCAGGUCAGGGGACAAAUGUGGGGACUCUGCUGGCUGCCACAUAAGUCCAUUUACUCACCUGUCUGAGGCUAGGGAAGUGACCUCUGCACCCACCGAGAGUUGGACCUGAGCUAGAGCUCCAUGAGUACCCUGGCCUCCACACGCCCCUCCUCUGACUAUUAGAUCUGACGGGUGUUUGUGUCCCCAGGAGUGGGUGUCAGGGUAGAGUUAGUGUCCAGUAAGUCCCCUGAGUCUGAGGACAGACUAGCCACCCCAGCAAAUGGCUGCAGGUCCCUGAGGGGAGACUGGGGGAGAGAAGAAUAAUGUAAAUUUGUGAGAGUAUGGCAACGUCCUUCCUCAGGGGCACCCAGUCCUCCUUUACUUGGGCACCAGGUGAGGGAGGCCACCCAUUGCUCCAGUUCCUGUGGCACCAUGAGCCUCCGGCCAAGGCCACAGGGUUCCGUGGACUGGACUGUUCCAAUCACUGCCAGAGCCAGUUGCCAUCUCAGCCACAAGCCCAGGGCCUCGUGGCCACCCCUGCUGGGCUGUGCCCUGCCCUCCUUAAAGGUUGUGAAUGAGCUCCCCACUGGGGCACCCCUGGCCAGCUCACUCUUCUUUUGUCUGCCCUGGCCCUGAUGCUGGUGUUUGAGAUAUCAGAACUCACUGGAAACCACCCUAAGCAGAGAUCACUCUGGCUGACGCCGGGGUGCAGUCCACAUGUGAUGGACUCUUAGGCUGAGCAGUGUUGGCUGAGCCCCCACUGCACCUUCCCUCCCACUCUGGGGUGCUCAGCCUCUGCCCAAGGCAGGGGGGACACUUCUGGCAACUGGUGACCCAGAGAUCAUGGGCUGCAGGGAUGGCUCUGAGUAGGCCACACAGCCAUCCCGAGAGCCAUCACUGGGGACACAGGGGGCCCUGCAGCCAGGGUGUCAGUGUGGGGGCAGCCCAGCAGACCCCAAGCCACCCACUGAGGUUGCUUCUCAGGGGAGCACUGGCAGGCUGUCGGCUCCUGCCUGGGCCCCGGCCUCUUGCCCCUGUCCCACCUCCCACCUGCAUGGUCUCCAGCAUUGCCCAAAUUCACCACCUUCACUCCCAAGUCCACGGCGGUGUCUCAUCCAGGCGGGUGAACACUCAUGUGUUGGGAGGCUGGCAAAGCCUGGCAUGGGGGGGCACCAUCCAUCUCCCUUCUUUGUCUCACUGCCUUUAAACACCCCACAUCUAUCACCUCUGCCCCCAAGGCUCCCAAGUUCACCCCAUGCCAGCCUCAGCCCAACAAGGCCUGUGUUUCUGGCCAGCCCUGCUGGGGUUCUCAGGGCGUCUACCCUCUCUGCUCCCCACUGUCUCUAAACAUAUUUCACACAUUGCUGGGGCAAUAUAUGUGACUCACAGCUUCCCAGAGCCAUCCCAGAGUUGUUCAGUAGACAUGAGGUAAAUGAA
This is a long non-coding RNA of Macaca fascicularis (crab-eating macaque), 2401 nucleotides long. NCBI's taxonomy places the organism in Eukaryota, Metazoa, Chordata, Mammalia, Primates, Cercopithecidae. The record is from Ensembl.